Molecule: long non-coding RNA, 1386 nt
Organism: Ostrea edulis (European flat oyster)
Lineage: Eukaryota; Metazoa; Mollusca; Bivalvia; Ostreida; Ostreidae
Exons: 4
Source: RefSeq, a predicted model, not a curated record
UUGUUGGGACGGGAGGAUCCAAUUGUUUUCCUAAGAGUUAUAGUGGAUCUAAGAGGGGUGGAAGAUGUAAAAUAGCUUAUGAACUCUUCUCCUCCCAUAUGGCUUAUUGGAUAGACUUGAAACUUUGUACAAUGCUUAAUUGUCAUUUGUAGAUGUGCAUAUUGUCGGAAUGGGAGGAUCCAAAGUUUUUCCUAAAAGAUAUAGUGGAUCUAAAAGGGGUGGAGGAUGUUAAAAUACCUUGUGAACACUUCUCCUAUAUGGCUUAUCUGAUAGACUUGAGAAUUUGUACAAUGCUUCAAUGCCAUUUGUAGAUGUGUAAGUUGUAGGGACAGGAGGAUCCAAUUGCUAUCCUUAAAGUUAAAGUGGAUCUGAGGGGUGUAGGGUAUAAAAUAGUUUGUGAACGCUUCUCCUCCUAUAUGGCUUAUCAGAGGUUCAUGUCUAUCUUCCUGCCCAUGCUUUCUCCUUCAUACUAUUCAAUACAUUAAGGGGGAUGUUUCCUAUAUUUUACGAAUUAAUUGGUUGAUUGACAACAAACUUGGUACACUUGUACAGCAUAUAUAAGGAGUAGAUGACCCCUAUUGAUUCUUAGGUCACAUGGUCAGUCCACUCUUGACAUAGGAAGGUAUUGUCUGCUCAAUAUUUUGAAUUGGUGAUACUACUAUCAAUUAAAUGAGGCACGGGUAUAACCCUUUCAAUUUUGCAACUUGGGGGCAUAUGUGUUUUAGAAACAUCUCUUGUGUUGUAUUAUAUGAAUUACAGGUUUUAGUGUGCUCAGUUUAGAGAAUAGCAUAAAAGUAUUUGAUAAUUAAAUAUCUUGCAGAUUGGCAGUUUACUCCAUGCACCGACAGGAAUGAUAAACUGUGAUAUUCGUAAAUGGAACUGGGACACGUUCUAAAUAUACUCAGGGACAGAAUGAUGUGCAGCAAGGCUCGUCAUGGAUUUUACCAAAUACAGAACACUGCAAGGCUUGCAAAAUGAAGACCUCAGUAAAAAAAAUUCUAAAUUAUCCACUAAUGGCAGCUCACUACCUGCCCCUAGUGAUGUUAAAAGAGGCCGUUGUUCUCAUUUGUUCCAAAACAGGAAUGGCAUAUGAGGAGGCCAACAGAAGAUGCACCUCCACUGACCUCCACUGAGUGUGCACUCACAAAACGAAUAAAUUAUUAUUAUUUCUUUUGUUUUUAAUUGUAUAUUGUCAACAAGGUCAAAGGCACUUGAUCCGAUGCCAAACUUUUGCAUUUCUUUUGCUUUGUGGUAAAUUUUCUUCAGCAACAUUAACAUUGUUUAAAUUGUUUUCUUUGGAGAGUAUACAUGUACACAUGGAUCAUUUGUAUAUUAGAAUUAUAGCAUUGUUUAAUUCAACUCAUUCUUAUCCUAGAGAGGUUAUUA